This 208-nucleotide ribosomal RNA is filed under the name uncultured bacterium. RNAcentral describes it as "partial 16S ribosomal RNA". It matches the Rfam family "Bacterial small subunit ribosomal RNA", at positions 568 to 774 of the family's 1533-position model. The record is from RNAcentral.
UGCGCAGGCGGUUGUGUAAGACAGGUGUGAAAUCCCCGGGCUUAACCUGGGAACUGCGCUUGUGACUGCACGACUAGAGUAUGGCAGGAGGGGGGUGGAAUUCCACGUGUAGCAGUGAAAUGCGUAGAGAUGUGGAGGAACACCGAUGGCGAAGGCAGCCCCCUGGGCCAAUACUGACGCUCAUGCACGAAAGCGUGGGGAGCAAACA